This 564-nucleotide ribosomal RNA is filed under the name uncultured bacterium. RNAcentral's name for it is "bacterial SSU rRNA". It matches the Rfam family "Bacterial small subunit ribosomal RNA", at positions 917 to 1482 of the family's 1533-position model. The record is from RNAcentral.
GGGCCCGCACAAGCGGCGGAGCAUGCGGCUUAAUUCGAUGCAACGCGAAGAACCUUACCUGGGCUUGACAUGCAGGGUGAAACCCGUGAAAGCGGGUGCUCUUCGGAGCCUGCACAGGUGGUGCAUGGCUGUCGUCAGCUCGUGCCGUGAGGUGUCGCCUUAAGUGGCGCAACGAGCGCAACCCCUGUCCUUAGUUGCCAGCGGGUAAUGCCGGGAACUCUAGGGAGACUGCCGGUGCCAAACCGGAGGAAGGUGGGGAUGACGUCAAGUCAUCAUGCCCCUUAUGUCCAGGGCUGCACGCAUGCUACAAUGCGCGGUACAGAGGGCUGCGAUCCCGUAAGGGGGAGCGAAUCCCAGAAAGCCGUGCUCAGUUCGGAUCGAGGUCUGCAACCCGACCUCGUGAAGUCGGAGUCGCUAGUAAUCGCAGAUCAGCAAUGCUGCGGUGAAUACGUUCCCGGGCCUUGUACACACCGCCCGUCACACCACGAAAGUGGGCAACACCCGAAGCCGGUGGCCCAACCCUUGUGGAGGGAGCCGUCGAAGGUGGGGCUCGCGAUUGGGACG